This 459-nucleotide ribosomal RNA is filed under the name uncultured bacterium. Its description in RNAcentral is "partial 16S ribosomal RNA". It matches the Rfam family "Bacterial small subunit ribosomal RNA", at positions 338 to 795 of the family's 1533-position model. The record is from RNAcentral.
CCUACGGGUGGCAGCAGUGAGGAAUAUUGGUCAAUGGCCGGAAGGCUGAACCAGCCAAGCCGCGUGAAGGACGAAGGUGCCAAGCAUUGUAAACUUCUUUUGUCAAUGGACAAAAUCAGGCUCGAGAGCCUGACCGAGGGUACUUGAAGAAAAAGCAUCGGCUAACUCCGUGCAAGCAGCCGCGGUAAUACGGAGGAUGCGAGCGUUAUCCGGAUUUAUGGGGUUUAAAGGGUGCGUAGGCGGACUGUUAAGUCAGCGGUAAAAGCCCGGGGCGCAACCCCGGCGAGCCGUUGAAGCUGGCUGUCUUGAGAUGUCGAGAGGUAUGCGGAAUGCGCAGUGUAGCGGUGAAAUGCUUAGAUAUUGCGCAGAACUCCGAUUGCGAAGGCAGCAUACCGGCGGCGAUCUGACGCUGAGGCACGAAAGCGUGGGUAUCGAACAGGAUUAGAUACCCGUGUAGUC